RNAcentral lists this transfer RNA (76 nucleotides) under Klebsiella aerogenes. RNAcentral's name for it is "tRNA-Lys". It matches the Rfam family "tRNA". From Rfam's summary of the family: Transfer RNA (tRNA) molecules are approximately 80 nucleotides in length. Their secondary structure includes four short double-helical elements and three loops (D, anti-codon, and T loops). Further hydrogen bonds mediate the characteristic L-shaped molecular structure. tRNAs have two regions of fundamental functional importance: the anti-codon, which is responsible for specific mRNA codon recognition, and the 3' end, to which the tRNAs corresponding amino acid is attached (by aminoacyl-tRNA synthetases). tRNAs cope with the degeneracy of the genetic code in two manners: having more than one tRNA (with a specific anti-codon) for a particular amino acid; and 'wobble' base-pairing, i.e. permitting non-standard base-pairing at the 3rd anti-codon position. The record is from RNAcentral. Lineage: Bacteria; Pseudomonadati; Pseudomonadota; Gammaproteobacteria; Enterobacterales; Enterobacteriaceae.
GGGUCGUUAGCGAAGUUGGUAGAGCAGUUGACUUUUAAUCAAUUGGUCGCAGGUUCGAAUCCUGCACGACCCACCA